This 329-nucleotide RNase P RNA is filed under the name Acidovorax cavernicola. Its description in RNAcentral is "RNase P RNA component class A". It matches the Rfam family "Bacterial RNase P class A". Rfam says of the family: Ribonuclease P (RNase P) is a ubiquitous endoribonuclease, found in archaea, bacteria and eukarya as well as chloroplasts and mitochondria. Its best characterised activity is the generation of mature 5'-ends of tRNAs by cleaving the 5'-leader elements of precursor-tRNAs. The record is from RNAcentral. Lineage: Bacteria; Pseudomonadati; Pseudomonadota; Betaproteobacteria; Burkholderiales; Comamonadaceae.
GAAGCUCGCCAGACCGCCGCUGGUGCAAGUGCCGAAAGGCCGCACUGGAGGAACGUCCGGACUGCACAGGACAGCGCAGGAGUUAACGACUCUCCACCGUGAGGUGAGGAUCAGAGCAACAGAGACGAGCCGAUUCAGUUCGGGUGAAACGGGCAAUCUCUGCGCGCAGCAACACCAAGUAGGCCAGUAUUGAGGUGGUUCCGCUGAGCUGGCGGGUAGGUGGCAUCGAGCCGUUUGGCGACAAACGGCCCAGAGUAAUGGCGGUCACGCCGGGAUCUUCGCAAGAGGGUUCCGGUGCACAGAAUCCGGCUUAUCGGCGAGCUUCACAU